Molecule: long non-coding RNA, 1822 nt
Filed under: Mytilus galloprovincialis (Mediterranean mussel)
Lineage: Eukaryota; Metazoa; Mollusca; Bivalvia; Mytilida; Mytilidae
Source: RNAcentral
UUUGAUUUUUGCACUUAAUAACCCUAUCCAACUAAUUUUUGGAGGUCGGGAAUUUGAUAUUUCAAAUGUACACAUCAUGACCUUUCAUUUGAUAUACAACAACCCUAUCUUAAAAGAAACAUUUAUUUUUUGCACUCAAUGACCCCAUCCAAACCCAUUUUUGGGAGACGUCAAUUUGAAAUUUGAAAUGUACGCUUUAUGUUCUUUCAUUUGAUAUGCGACAACCUUACCAUCUGAGAAAUUUGAAUGUUUGCACUAAAUGACCCCACCCUUCCCCCUGGGAUGAAAAGGGGGUUUAAAAUUUUCAUUUUUAAGUAGAGUUUAUUAAGACCUUCAAUUUGAUAUAUCAGAUGACCCCAUUUGACAAAGUGCAAAUAAUGAUGCAAUAUCAACUAUAUAAAUAGAAGUUAUGAAACUUACAAAGUCAAUGCAAAACUUGAAAAUUUCAAAUUGAUUUUUUGGUGUUUUUUUCCAUGGAAUGUUUUUGGUAUUUGGUCAAACAUAUAACUAUGUCAACCUCUUCAAUUUCUAAAAACAUUUUAAGUGGUAAGCUCUUGUUGAUUCAGAAAUACAUGCCUCCGCUCGCAAAACUUCAAACUGCAUUAUCUCUAAAACGACAAUAGAUAUCUCAAAUCUGUUAAAUGAUAAAUGAUCUACAGUUAAAGGACAACAUUAUAGAAAAGAAUUGGGACAAUUUCAAAGUUCACCAAGGUCACAAUUAAUCAUCAAAUAUAUGAUGCAAUACCAAACUUGAGAACCGGAAGUCGUAGAGACAUGGGACUAUCACCAUUCAACUCAGGACCACUUGACCUUUCAAAUAUCACAAGGUCAAGGUCAUAGUAUAAUGUGAAGGUCAAGGUGAAAUUUCAUCAUGACCUGACAUUGACCUCAAAUUGAAGGUCUUGAAUUACUGAUCAUCUUUGCAGUUUAUAGUAGGUUGAUAUCUGUUACCUUUAAAAAGAUAUACACACAAUACUAUACUUUUAAGAAUCAUCCCGUCGUAACUUUUGAACAGACAGUCGGACACUUUUUGAGGCUCAGUGUAUAAAAUGUAGAGCUCGUCGAGAGGAACAUUUUAUACGCUGUAAGUAUGCAGCAAACUCUUAUCGUUUUCUUAAUAUGAAAGCUUGAAAUUGCAGCGUAAUUUUUUUUUUGCACUUGGUGACCUUUGACCUUGGGUGCAAAUUAAAGGUCACAUGAACUUAAGAUUAUUGGUGUAGGUCCCAAGUCUUUACGACUUCCGGUUCUCGAGAUACAAUUUUUCAAAAAUUGGGUAUAUUUUUUCAAGGGAAAUAACUCCUUAUAAGGGUUAACAACAAAAUGAUUGUAUAUGUUCAUUAUCAUUGCCAUCUGGUCUUGUACAUGUUGCCGUUUUCAAAUCAAUUCUAUCUUGAAUACUUUUUGAGAAAAAUGUAAAAGAAAGAAAAUUGCUUCAAGGGGACAUAACUCUCAUAGGGAAUGAUGAAAUCCUUAGCAGCCUCAUAUGGUAACACAUCAUGAUGAGAUCUAACUUUGUCCAAAUAAGGUCAUGAUAUCUUUAAAAACAACGAGGGGGGCCAUGUCGAAAAAAACCAAUAAAAGGGAGAUAACUUCUAAAGGGGAUGAUGAAAUCCUACACAGCCUCAUCUGGUAAUACUUCAUGAUGAGUUCUACCGAUGGUCCAUAUUUGGUCUUGAUAACUCCAAUAGAAACGAGGGGAGGCCAUGUCAAACAAAUGCUGGAUGAAAAAAAAAAAAAAAAAAAAAAAAAAAAAAAAAAAAACAGGAGAAAAACAAUAAGGUCUUUCCUCGCGGAGAGGAAAGACCUUAAAAAUGUCUAAGAA